RNAcentral lists this long non-coding RNA (579 nucleotides) under Nicotiana benthamiana. RNAcentral's name for it is "long non-coding RNA (NBEN_LNC033457)". The record is from RNAcentral. Lineage: Eukaryota; Viridiplantae; Streptophyta; Magnoliopsida; Solanales; Solanaceae.
CCAAAUUACUCGACUGGUGGGACCAUUCACAUUGUGGUAAAUAAUCAAGUGGCGUUCACUACUGAUCCAAGGGCUGGAAGAUCAUCUCAGUACUGUACUGACGUCGCAAAGGCUUUGAAUGCUCCGAUUUUCCAUGUCAAUGGUGAUGACGUUGAGGCAGUUGCUCAUGUGUGUGAACUUGCAGCUGAAUGGCGCCAGAAGUUCCACUCAAAUUUUCCAUGUCAAUGGUGAUGAUGUUGAGGCGGUUGCUCAUGUGUGUGAACUUGCUGCAGAAUGGCGCCAGAAAUUCCACUCAGAUGUUGUGGUUGAUAUUGUCUGUUAUCGUCGUUUUGGACACAAUGAAAUUGACGAACCUUCCUUCACCCAGCCUAAAAUGUAUAAGGUUAGUUUCGUUGAAUAUUUUGUGCUUUGAUACAUAACUAUUGUCGAAUUUAGAUUUGGAGUGCAAUUCACUCUGUUUACCUUCCUACUGUGAAUUGUGACCAACUAUGAAAGAAUCCAUUUAGCUUCUGCUGGAAGCAAUGGAUCUUCUUAUAUUCUGUAUGACAACACUGAUAUCUUUAUCAUUUUAUGUCUUGC